RNAcentral lists this small RNA (29 nucleotides) under Bombyx mori (domestic silkworm). RNAcentral's name for it is "ovarian small RNA-32527". The record is from RNAcentral. Lineage: Eukaryota; Metazoa; Arthropoda; Insecta; Lepidoptera; Bombycidae.
UGAUAUCGAAUGCCGGUACAGCCAACAAU